Molecule: ribosomal RNA, 460 nt
Filed under: uncultured bacterium
Lineage: Bacteria
Description: partial 16S ribosomal RNA
Rfam family: Bacterial small subunit ribosomal RNA
Source: RNAcentral
CCUACGGGUGGCAGCAGUGAGGAAUAUUGGUCAAUGGACGAGAGUCUGAACCAGCCAAGUAGCGUGAAGGAUGACUGCCCUAUGGGUUGUAAACUUCUUUUAUAUGGGAAUAAAAUGUUCCACGUGUGGGAUUUUGUAUGUACCAUAUGAAUAAGGAUCGGCUAACUCCGUGCCAGCAGCCGCGGUAAUACGGAGGAUCCGAGCGUUAUCCGGAUUUAUUGGGUUUAAAGGGAGCGUAGGUGGAUUGUUAAGUCAGUUGUGAAAGUUUGCGGCUCAACCGUAAAAUUGCAGUUGAAACUGGCAGUCUUGAGUACAGUAGAGGGGGGCGGAAUUCGUGGUGUAGCGGUGAAAUGCUUAGAUAUCACGAAGAACUCCGAUUGCGAAGGCAGUUCACUGGACUGCAACUGACACUGAGGCUCGAAAGUGUGGGUAUCAAACAGGAUUAGAUACCCGAGUAGUC